RNAcentral lists this ribosomal RNA (499 nucleotides) under uncultured bacterium. RNAcentral's name for it is "partial 16S ribosomal RNA". It matches the Rfam family "Bacterial small subunit ribosomal RNA", at positions 28 to 507 of the family's 1533-position model. The record is from RNAcentral.
GACGAACGCUGGCGGCGUGCCUAAUACAUGCAAGUCGAGCGAAGUUUUUCUGGUGCUUGCACUAGAAAAACUUAGCGGCGAACGGGUGAGUAACACGUAAAGAACCUGCCUCAUAGACUGGGACAACUAUUGGAAACGAUAGCUAAUACCGGAUAACAGCAUUAACUGCAUGGUUGAUGUUUAAAAGUUGGUUUUGCUAACACUAUGAGAUGGCUUUGCGGUGCAUUAGCUAGUUGGUGGGGUAAAGGCCUACCAAGGCGACGAUGCAUAGCCGACCUGAGGGGGUGAUCGGCCACACUGGGACUGAGACACGGCCCAGACUCCUACGGGAGGCAGCAGUAGGGAAUCUUCCGCAAUGGGCGAAAGCCUGACGGAGCAACGCCGCGUGAGUGAAGAAGGAUUUCGGUUCGUAAAGCUCUGUUGUUAGGGAAGAAUGAUUGUGUAGUACCUAUACACAGUAGAGACGGUACCUAACCAGAAAGCCACGGCUAACUACGUG